Molecule: ribosomal RNA, 453 nt
Filed under: uncultured Porphyromonadaceae bacterium
Lineage: Bacteria; Pseudomonadati; Bacteroidota; Bacteroidia; Bacteroidales; Porphyromonadaceae
Description: partial 16S ribosomal RNA
Rfam family: Bacterial small subunit ribosomal RNA
Source: RNAcentral
ACGGAAGGCAGCAGUGAGGAAUAUUGGUCGAUGGGCGGAAGCCUGAACCAGCCAAGUCGUGUGAAGGAUGAAGGUAUUAUGUAUUGUAAACUUCUUUAGCAGUGGAGUAAUAAGGGGAUCGUGAUCCCUGAUGCAAGUACACUGAAAAUAAGGAUCGGCUAACUCCGUGCCAGCAGCCGCGGUAAUACGGAGGAUCCGAGCGUUAUCCGGAUUUAUUGGGUUUAAAGGGUGCGCAGGCGGCCCUGUAAGUCAGCGGUUAAAUCGUGGAGCUCAACUCCAUCCCGCCGUUGAUACUGCAGGGCUUGAUUGCGGUCGAGGUUGGCGGAGUUCGUCGUGUAGCGGUGAAAUGCAUAGAUAUGACGAAGAACACCGAUUGCGUAGGCAGCUGACCAGGCCGUAAAUGACGCUCAUGCACGAAAGUGCGGGGAUCGAACAGGAUUAGAUACCCUGGUA